Molecule: long non-coding RNA, 218 nt
Filed under: Lathyrus oleraceus (garden pea)
Lineage: Eukaryota; Viridiplantae; Streptophyta; Magnoliopsida; Fabales; Fabaceae
Description: Pisum sativum (pea) long non-coding RNA (PSAT_LNC019606)
Source: RNAcentral
UAAAUUUUGACCCUAAAGGCAUAUCAUUCUAGUAAGUGAGAUUGUAAGUCUCCCUCCUUUCACGGUAUUGUAUGGAAACUUGGCCUUUUUUUCUUCCUUUGGAAGAUGUCUUGGUACAAGGAUCCAUGCUUGUGAAUAGAGGAUUGAGUGUUCUCCAAAGAAUGACUUAAUCAAUUGAAAAGCAAACUCCACUAACUCCUAAUCAACUAACAUUUGAC